RNAcentral lists this unclassified non-coding RNA (374 nucleotides) under uncultured bacterium. RNAcentral describes it as "contains 16S-23S intergenic spacer region". The record is from RNAcentral.
UCUCGGCUUAUCACCGGCAGUCCCCCUAGAGUGCCCAACUGAAUGAUGGCAACUAAGGGCGAGGGUUGCGCUCGUUGCGGGACUUAACCCAACAUCUCACGACACGAGCUGACGACAGCCAUGCAGCACCUGUGUCCCGGUCCCGUGAGGGAACUCUGGAUCUCUCCAGAUGGCCGGGCAUGUCAAGGGCUGGUAAGGUUCUGCGCGUUGCUUCGAAUUAAGCAACAUGCUCCGCCGCUUGUGCGGGCCCCCGUCAAUUCCUUUGAGUUUCACCCUUGCGGGCGUACUCCCCAGGUGGAUUACUUAACGCUUUCGCUAAGACGCUGACAGUUUAUCGCCAACAUCGAGUAAUCAUCGUUUACGGCGUGGACUAC